Molecule: ribosomal RNA, 460 nt
Filed under: uncultured bacterium
Lineage: Bacteria
Description: partial 16S ribosomal RNA
Rfam family: Bacterial small subunit ribosomal RNA
Source: RNAcentral
CCUACGGGUGGCAGCAGUGAGGAAUAUUGGUCAAUGGACGAGAGUCUGAACCAGCCAAGUAGCGUGAAGGAUGACUGCCCUAUGGGUUGUAAACUUCUUUUAUAUGGGAAUAAAAUGUUCCACGUGUGGGAUUUUGUAUGUACCAUAUGAAUAAGGAUCGGCUAACUCCGUGCCAGCAGCCGCGGUAAUACGGAGGAUCCGAGCGUUAUCCGGAUUUAUUGGGUUUAAAGGGAGCGUAGGUGGAUUGUUAAGUCAGUUGUGAAAGUUUGCGGCUCAACCGUAAAAUUGCAGUUGAAACUGGCAGUCUUGAGUACAGUAGAGGUGGGCGGAAUGCGUGGUGUAGCGGUGAAAUGCUUAGAUAUCACGAAGAACUCCGAUUGCGAAGGCAGCUCACUGGACUGCAACUGACGCUGAUGCUCGAAAGCGCGGGUAUCGAACAGGAUUAGAUACCCCUGUAGUC